Molecule: ribosomal RNA, 776 nt
Filed under: uncultured Neocallimastigales
Lineage: Eukaryota; Fungi; Neocallimastigomycota; Neocallimastigomycetes; Neocallimastigales
Description: partial large subunit ribosomal RNA
Rfam family: Eukaryotic large subunit ribosomal RNA
Source: RNAcentral
ACACGCAUGACACACUGCAUAUCAAUAAGCGGAGGAAAAGAAACUAACAAGGAUUCCCUUAGUAACGGCGAGUGAAGCGGGAAGAGCUCAAAUUUGAAAUCUUCAAGGUUCUACCUUGACGAAUUGUAGUUUAUAGAAGUGUUUUCUGUUAGUGGAGUGGCAAAAGUUCUUUGGAAUAGGACAUCAUAGAGGGUGAGAAUCCCGUAUUUGGUCAUUCCUCCUAGCGUUGUGAUACACUUUCAACGAGUCGGAUUGUUUGGGAAUGCAGUCCAAAAUGGGUGGUAAAUUUCAUCUAAAGCUAAAUAUUGGCGAGAGACCGAUAGCGAACAAGUACCGUGAGGGAAAGAUGAAAAGAACUUUGAAAAGAGAGUUAAACAGUACGUGAAAUUGUCAAAAGGGAAGCGUUUGACACCAGUGUUGUUUUUCCGAAAAUCAAUUACGAAUGUUUUGUUUUUGAGGAGUUAUGACUUCAUCGGCUUGCUUCUCUCUUUACGAAACUUUCUUAAUGCACUUUUCGGUUAACAAGUCAACAUCAAUUCCUUUUGUUGUAAAAGGGUACGAGGAAGGUGGCUUUCUUUUCGGAGAAAGUGUUUAUAGCCUUGUAGCCUCUGCAAUCGGAGAGAUUGAGGUCUGCAGCGUAGAUCCUUCGGGGUUAGAUACAGUUUGUGCUAAGUUAUAGCUUUUCAUAGACAACUUGUUGACUAUGUUAGUCUUGUAGCUUACUCGCUGACUGCUAUUUUACCUACGCUUAGGAUGUUGAGCGCAUGUCUCUCUCU